AUGUUUCCAAUAUAUCGUGAUAUUUUGAACAACAUUGAGGCUGGGUGGCCAUCUGUCAGGGAUGUUUUGCUUGUGCUUUGGUGCACAAAGGCAGAAGGGGAUUGGACUAAAUGGCCCAAGGGGUUUCUUCCAACCCUCUUUAUUAUUAUUAUUAUUAUUAUUAUUAUUAUUAUUAUUAUUAUUAACAUAGAGGCUGGGUGGCCAUCUGUCAGGGGUGCUUUGCUUGUGCUUUCGGCGCACAAAAGCAGAAGGAGUUGGACUAAAUGGCCCAAGGAGUCUCUUCCAACCCUCUUUAUUAUUAUGAUUAUGAUUAUGAUUAUGAUGAUUAUUAAUAACAUUGAGGCUGGGUGGCCAUCUGUCAGGGGUGCUUAGCUUGUGCUUUUGGUGCACAAAGGCAGAAGGGGGUUGGACACAAUGGCCCAAAGGGUCUUUUUCAACCCACUUUUUAUUGUUGUUGUUGUUGUUGUCAUUAUUAUUAUUAAUUAUUAUUGCUCGGUGGCCAACAAUAGUCCGGCCCUCCAAUGGUCCGAAGGAUCGUGAACUGGCCCCCUGUUUAAAAAGUUUGGGGACCUCUGAUCUACAGGGUAAAAUGAAUGCUGUUUCAUGCCACUUGAACUGCCAGGGUUCAGUGCUAUUUAUUCCUGAGCGUUUGGGGAGGCACUAAGCACUCUUUGAAGAAAAGGUUGAUUAAGAUCUUGUAAAACAACUUCUAGGAAACCAUGAAAAUGAACAAAAUCUGGCUACCAGUAUUUAAAAGACUCUAAAAUCAGGACAGUAAAUAUAGAGCAACACUCAAAAACAGGGGAAUUCCAGGCAAGAAACAAUCAGGGCCGGCUAUCACUUCCCAACAAAUGAUUCCCCCAGGCAGGAAGCAGCCAGGCUUUGAAGCUGCAAGGCCAUUCAAUGCUAAUCAAGGCGUCCAACUGCAACAAUCAUACUUGCCUCAAACAGGCAAGAGUUCUUUCUCCCACCCUGGGCAUUCCACAGAUAUAUAAACCCCAUUUGCAUAGUUUCCAACAGACCUCACAACCUCUGAGGAUGCCUGCCAUAGGUGUGGGCGAAACGUCAGGAGAGAAUGCUUCUGGAACAUGGCCAUACAGCCCGGAAAACUCGCAGCAAGCCAGUUUCUAGGAUUCCUUAGCAUUACACCAUGACAGUUCAAGUGGUGCCGAACUGCCUUAAUUCUACAGUGUAGCUGCACUCGUAGUCCAGCGCGCGAACCAGGACAAAGCACGCUUCGCUUUGGAAAGGGGGGAUAUUUAAACUCAAGCCUAAACGGUGCAACUAAGAGAGAGAGGGUUCCUACUCUUCUCGACCCCUCCCUCCCUUUCCUGGGAGGUCUUGGAUGUUGUCUUUAAUCUGUGGAAAGAGGAGGACUAAUGGCUGGUGGAGGAAAUGAGAUCGAAUCCGGGGGAAGCAAUUUGGAGCCCAGGAAGGCGGCGUUGAAGGCCUAAAGGAGAGCCUUCACUUGGGGGCUCUCUCUUUACCCUGCCCCUUUCCUCUUGGGACACAACCCCGUCAGCGCCAGAUAGAGCCAGUUCCCUCCCAGCAAGCAAACCCCAAAACCCAGCCGUGGCACAAGAGAGCCCACCAGGCUCAUACAUCUCCUUGGGUGCAUCUCCAGCCUUAGAACUGAUUUGACACCACGGCUCAAUGCUAUGCAGUUCUGGGGGUGGGUGAAAUUUUCUACACUGCCAUAUAAUUCAGUUCAACGCAAAUAAUCUGAUUUUAUAUGGCAGUGUAGAAGGGGCCUCAGACAAAUGCAAGGGCGAACCUCCUCUAAAGAAAUCUUGCCAGAAAACCUCUAAGAUCUUCCCAAGUUUCCCCCUUAACCUUGGCAUAAAUCGAAAAUGACUUGGACAAGAUCAACAUAACCAUAUAAUGCAGCUUGAACUGCAUUGUAUGAUCAGUGUAGGCCAGGCAUAGGCAAACUUGGGCCCUCCAGGUGUUUUGGACUUCAACUUCCACUAUUAAUAACAGCCGGCUGUUAGGAAUGGUAGGAGUUGAAGUCCAAAACACCAGGAGGGCCCAAGUUUGCCCAUGCCUGGUGUAGACCCAUGUGAUACAGUUCAAAGGACAUUAUAUGGCAGUCUGGGUCCAGCACUGAAAGCCUACAACCUCUCUGAAAUCAACAGAACUGAAUGGAAUAAAUAUAAAAUAGGAUUGAACUAGUAAUCCAUGUUAUUAUGUUUUUCCAAAUCCAUUAUUUGUUCGCCAUUGCCUUCUUCUAAGGCUGAGAGAGAAGUGUGCCUUGCCUAAAUGCUUUUUAAUGGCUGAGCAAGGACUUGAACCCCGCGAAGGGAAUGUGCAGGGUGGGAGAGAGAACUCUUAUCUAUCUAUAUCUAUCUAUCUGGCAGGGGGCACUCAUAUAAUCCAGUUUAAAGCAGAAAACCUAGGAUCAGAUCCUGGGAUAUAGGGCCUGUCUGGAAGGGCCCUUCCACAUUGUAGAAAUACAGUAGAGUCUCACUUAUCCAACACUUGCUUAUCCAACGUUCUGGAUUAUCCAACACAUUUUUGUAGUCAAUGUUUUCAAUACAUCGUGAUAUUUUGGUGCUAAAUCCAUAAAUACAGUAAUUACUACAUAGCAUUACUGUGUAUUGAACUACUUUUUCUGUUAAAUUUGUUGUAUAACAUAAUGUUUUGGUGCUUAAUUUGUAAAAUCAUAUUGUAAUUUGAUGUUUAAUAGGCUUUUCCCUAAUCUCUCCUUAUUAUCCAACAUAUUCGCUUAUGCAAUGUUCUGCCGGCCCGUUUACGUUGGAUAAGCGAGACUCUACUGUAAUGCAGUUUGACACCGCUUGACCUGCCCUGGCUCAAUGCAGUGGGUUUAUAGAAGCCUUCUCUGCCAAAGAGCGUGCCGUUGCCUCGCCAAACUAAAGCUCCGUUGCAUUAAACCAGGGAUAUGAAACUAAAUUCAUUCUAUACUGGAGACGCAUCCCGAGACAGGUGUCAGAAUCUGGAUUUAAAACGUUCUAAUCCCAAGCCCAAAACGUCUUGGGAAAUACCUUUGGGCAGCCCAAAUAAAAUCCACGCAAAAGGGGGAAAAAAACCAAACAAACUCACCGCAGCGGCAGAGCGAGAAGCCAGCCAAGUCUCGAUGCCCAUUUCGCUGUCCGCUUGCCUGGCACCUUGAAAGGAAUGGGGAAGGAAGCAUGAGAGAUGAAAGGCUGCGGGGGAGAGAGAAAGAAGGCUGAUGCGAAGCAAAUGGCUCCAAUCUCCUCCAGCCUUUUCCCCUGCAAGCCCAGCAGCCCUCGGAUUCCCCCCACCUGUGGGAAAGAGGCGGGAAAGGGCAUCCUGAGGGCCACCUGCGCCGCCCUGCCAAGACUGCCUUCAGGAUGCCUCUGGGGAGGAAAGAUACUGAGGCCAGCGAGCGCUUGGCCAAAAGGAUGGUCAGUAUUUUUUGAGGGGUGAUGGAAGGCCCAGAUGUUCCUUCUUCCCUCCUUAAAGAGGCACGGUUUAAAGCCCUCCUGGAGAAGGGAAGGCCCUUUGUGUUGUCGAAGGCUGCAUGGCCGGAAUCAGUGGGUUGCUAUGAGUUUUCCGGACUGUAUGGCCAUGUUCCAGAAGCAUUAUCUCCUGAACUUUAACCCACAUCUGUGACAGGCAUCCUCAGAGGUUGUGAGGUAUAUUGAAAUCUAGGCUAGCGAGGUUUAUAUGUCUGUGGAAGGUCCAGGGUGGGAGAAAGAGCGCUCGUCUGCUGGGGGCAAGUGUGACUGUUGCAAUUAAUCACAAAGAUUAGCACAGUGGUUCUCAACCUGGGUCCCCAGAUGUUUUUGGCCUUCAACUCCCAGAAACCCUAACAGUUGGUAAACUGGCUGGGAUUUCUGGGAGUUGUAGGCUAAAAACACCUGGGGAUCCCAGGUUGAGAACCACUGGUUUGCAUUUAAUGGCCCUGCAGCUCCAAGCCAUAACAGAGCACUUUGGGAACACAGAAAUGCUGGACCACUCUAGCAACCAUCAUGUCAGAAUGCUCAGAGAAGCCGCUGAAAUCCAUAAGCAUGUGUACAAUUUCAACGGAAAGGAGGAAACGAUGAAAAUGAACAAAAUUUGGCUGCCAAUAUUAAAAAAAUCUCUAAAAUCAAGACAGUAAAUAAAGAACAACACUCAGAAAACACGGAAAUUCCGGCCACGAAACAAUCAGGACCAACUAACACUUCCCAACAAAGGAUUCCCCCAGGCAGGAAUAAGACAGGCUUUGAAGCUACAAGGCUUUUCAAUGCUAAUUACAACAUUCACACUUGCCUCCAACAGGCAAAGGUUCUGUCUCCCACCCUGGACCUUCCACAGAUAGAUAAACCUCCCUCGCCUAGAUUCCAACAUACCUCACAACCUCUGAGAAUGUCUGCCAUAGAUGUGGGCGAAGCGUCAGGAGAGAAUGCUUCUGGAACAUGGGCCGGAAAACUCACAGCAACGAAGGGCAGAUCCUUUUCUCCGUCGCUGUCGAGGGGGAGGAAGGGAAAGCAGGAGGCUUGGGAGCCGGAGGAGAGGAGAAAGCGGGGAGUUUGGGGGAGGGACUCGUACCCACUGCCUGGCUUUCUCCCCCUUCAAAAAGCCCCAAAUCAAUAAAUUAACAUGCUCAGUGAUGGAGAUAUUCAGGGAAGGCGGGUUUUGCGCAGGGAGGUGAGGCCAGGCCCUCUCUCUCUCUCCUCUUUCUCUCCCCCGCUCCCUCUCCUUUGGGAGGGUCCACCCCCUAGAAAACAAAACUUGGGGGGCCUCCAGCGCCUGGCUUCAGUGGAGCAGCAAAAGGGAAGCGGGAAGGAGCCGGAGGCUUUGCAGGAAAGAGGCGGGGAGGGCAGCGGGGGUGUUGAUAUUGCGUCCCCCCCUUCCUCCCCUUCCUCUCUUCCCUCUUUCUUUUUCAAGAACUCACCCAGCCCCGUUUUCGACCCGCUUUAGGGCGCCGUGGGCUGCUGGCAUGAGAGG
RNAcentral lists this long non-coding RNA (4914 nucleotides) under Anolis carolinensis (green anole). RNAcentral describes it as "lncRNA (ENSACAG00000042316.1)". The record is from RNAcentral. Lineage: Eukaryota; Metazoa; Chordata; Lepidosauria; Squamata; Anolidae.